This is a non-coding RNA of Camellia sinensis, 1504 nucleotides long. The record is from RefSeq and is a predicted model, not a curated record. Lineage: Eukaryota; Viridiplantae; Streptophyta; Magnoliopsida; Ericales; Theaceae.
UCAUGUCCUUGUCUAAAUUUGCUAAAAUACAAUUCGGUUCUAUAUUCAGAUUGGGUAAAGUCUAAUACAAGGCAUCCAACAGGAAUUACUAGGAGCUGUUUGACAUCAUAUGUCCUGUCCUACAUGGUAUUUAGUAAAUGGAGAUGUAAACACAAUGCAAAACCUGGAUGUGAGCCGCUAGUUAUAGGUUGUGUAUUGUUUAAAACAAAAACUUUGUUUUGUGUUAUAUAAUGUAUGAAUGCAGGAGAGCUUGUUCGAUUUCAAGCUGGUGUAACAAUGGAAAUCUUACGACUAGAUGCCUGGUAUUCAAGCAAAGAUGGUUCCCCGGAAGGCCCAGCUACAUACAUCGUGCGGGGCCUUUGUCGAAGGUGUUGCAUUCCAGAAGUUAUUCUUAGAUGUAUGCAGGUUUCUGUUUCGCUCGUGGAGUCCGGCAAUCCACUUGAAAGCCAUGAUGAGCUGAUUGAACUAGUUGCAUCACCUGAAACUGGGUUUCUCCAUUUAUUUAGUUAGCAGCAAUUGCAGGUAAUCUAUUAUCUAGAUAACGAGUCUUUACUUGCUUGGGGUGGCUAUUAUCGCAUUUUCUCUUUUCAUUCUUCUUCAGUCAUAGUUGACCUUCCCUAACCGGAGAAUUGACUUGGAUGCCAGUUUUGUCAACAUAAUUUUUGCCUUGGCAAUAGUGUUGCCCUCCUAAAUUUUGUCCAUCCACCCUUUUAUUAUUAUUAUUAUUAUUAUUAUUUUUUGGGUUUCUGGUAAAGUUGCCAAGAUUAGGGCCUUACUAUAAUCUUUACGCUUAAUUACAUUUUUGGUCUCCAAAAGUGUUGUGUCAUUUUGGUCCUCAAUACUUAAAUUGUGUCAAUUUGGUCCUUAAUGUACAAAAAUUUGGUCCUUAAUGUCUAAAUUGUGUCAAUUGGGUCCCCAAUGUAUAACAGUUGUUCCAAUUUACUCAUAUUUGGGAACUAAAACUGUAAUUAAGCCAUAAUCUUACUAUGUUAGAAAUUCGCCUGAAUGAUUAAAGGUGUUUUAUUUUUCAUGAGUUUGAGAAUUAUAUAGGUCCCACAAAUAAUCCAUUUUUGUAUUGUAACUUGUCGUUAUUUUGGUUGAUACAACAAUUAAAUACCAUUGAUUUUGCUGAUAAUUUUGUUUUGUUUUGUACAGGAAUUUUUAUUAUUAGAGAGAGAAUACUGGAUAUGCAAAUUGGAGCUUGGAGAGGAACUUCCUUGUUGAUUUGUCUGUAAAUUAUGAGGUGUUGAUUUAGGGUUUAAUUAUGAGGUGCUGAUUUAGUAGCAGUGUAAUGCUCUGCUGAUACAGUGGUAUUUUUGUGGAAUGGAUGAAGGGUUGAAGUUUUAUUUAUUUAUUUUUAAAUUUUUUUAAGUGGCGUGUUUUGGGUAGUUCUUUUCUACGCAGUAGGUAGAUUGAGAUCCUGUAUUUGUUGAUUCUUAAUUGAUUGUUGAACUCUCUACUACUUCCAUAAGUUUAUGCAGUAAUUACUCCAACUCCAACUAAA